GAGGCGAAAUCCCGAAAAGCCUAAAAAGAGUAGGGA
Molecule: non-coding RNA, 36 nt
Filed under: unclassified sequences
Description: DUF805b RNA
Rfam family: DUF805b RNA
About the family: Bacteroidetes, Chlorobi (1 example), Proteobacteria.
Source: RNAcentral